GACGAACGCUGGCGGCGUGCCUAAUACAUGCAAGUAGAACGCACAGUUUAUACUGUAGCUUGCUACACCAUAGACAGUGAGUUGCGAACGGGUGAGUAAUGCGUAGGUAACCUGCCUGGCAGCGGGGGAUAACUAUUGAUAACGAUAGCUAAUACCGCAUAAUAUUGAUUAUUCCUUGGUAAUUGAUUGAACGAUGCUAUUGCAUCACUACCAGCUGGACCUGCGUUGUAUUAGCUAGUAGGUGAGGUAACGGCACACCUAGGCGGCGAUACAUAGCCGACCCGGGAGGGUGAUCGGGCACACUGGGACCGGGACACGGCCCAGACUCCCUCGGGAGGGCGCAGUAGGGGAUCUUCGGAAAUUGGGGGAAGUCUUACCGAGCAACGCCGCGGGGGUGGAGGAAGGUCUCGGGUCGGAAAGGUCUGUUGUGUGGGAAGAAAGGGUGUUAGGGUGGAAAGUUCACGUUGUGACGGUAUCUUAACAGAAAGCGACGGCUAACUACGUG
Molecule: ribosomal RNA, 505 nt
Filed under: uncultured bacterium
Lineage: Bacteria
Description: partial 16S ribosomal RNA
Rfam family: Bacterial small subunit ribosomal RNA
Source: RNAcentral